GACGUAGGGCGCGAGCGUUGUCCGGAUUUAUUGGGCGUAAAGAGCUCGUAGGCGGCUUGUCGCGUCGACUGUGAAAACCCACGGCUUAACUGUGGGCUUGCAGUCGAUACGGGCAGGCUAGAGUUCGGUAGGGGAGACUGGAAUUCCUGGUGUAGCGGUGAAAUGCGCAGAUAUCAGGAGGAACACCGGUGGCGAAGGCGGGUCUCUGGGCCGAUACUGACGCUGAGGAGCGAAAGCGUGGGGAGCAAACAGG
RNAcentral lists this ribosomal RNA (253 nucleotides) under uncultured bacterium. RNAcentral describes it as "partial 16S ribosomal RNA". It matches the Rfam family "Bacterial small subunit ribosomal RNA", at positions 524 to 776 of the family's 1533-position model. The record is from RNAcentral.